AUGCCUAAUGAAGCAGCUAGCCGUCGAAUAAUAAAAUUAAUGUGUCUUGGAUAAAGUUGUUAUUGUUGCGUCUUUGCAUUCUCGUUUCAUAUUUCUAGUUUUUGUUGCUUUGGUCAUGUUUCUUGUUUUUUGUUUUUGUUUUUGUUUCUUGUUGCGUCUUCGUUUGCAUAUGUUAACCUAAAUUAAUGCAAUGUUUUCCCUUUAAAUCAUUGAAGAGCUCAUCCCGUAUUUAACACUAUGUUUUCUAGGGUUCAACAUAAAGCAAAUUGUUUAAGAAUAAGAUAUAUUUUGAUA
This 294-nucleotide long non-coding RNA is filed under the name Brassica napus (rape). Its description in RNAcentral is "long non-coding RNA (BNAP_LNC013346)". Lineage: Eukaryota; Viridiplantae; Streptophyta; Magnoliopsida; Brassicales; Brassicaceae. The record is from RNAcentral.